Ictalurus punctatus (channel catfish) is the source of this 584-nucleotide long non-coding RNA. RefSeq lists it as uncharacterized. The record is from RefSeq and is a predicted model, not a curated record. The transcript is spliced from 3 exons. Lineage: Eukaryota; Metazoa; Chordata; Actinopteri; Siluriformes; Ictaluridae.
UACAUUGAAUAUUUUCCAUUUUUACAUCAUGUUCUGUUUCCGUUCCCUUUUUAGUGCUGAUUUCACUUAUACCAGUGGCCCAUGCUCAAGGGAGGCCUAAAGCUGUGGUGUCCAUAACGCCUGAUACACAUGUGUUCAUUGGAGAGACAGUUACUCUCAGAUGUGACGUACAGGGAGGAGGAGACUCUCAGUGGACAUACAACUGGUAUAAAAAUAAUAACAGACUCACAGACCGCACAGUGCAGUUCAAAAUCCGGUCUGUUGUAUACGGUCACCAUGGUGUCUACACCUGCAGAGGACAGAGCAGUGACUCUCAGAGCUCAGAGAUCAGUGAUGCUGUUACACUGACUGUAUCAGAAAAACCCAAACCGACUGUGAGAGUGAAUCCUCAGAGCUCCGUCUACACUGGAGACACCAUCACUCUGACCUGUGAGCUGCAGUCGACUGGAUGGGAGAUUCAAUGGUAUAAAAAUAAUCAGCAGUUACAGCCUUGGAGCACUGAACACAUAUACACACUCAAAGUGACAGACAAUAAUGAAGGAGAAACAGAGUACAAGUGUCACGCAUGCAGGAUAAACUACUAC